RNAcentral lists this long non-coding RNA (726 nucleotides) under Prunus dulcis (almond). Its description in RNAcentral is "sRNA ncRNA". The record is from RNAcentral. Lineage: Eukaryota; Viridiplantae; Streptophyta; Magnoliopsida; Rosales; Rosaceae.
UAAUAUAUCAGUAUAAUAAUAUUACUUACUAUAUUAUUUGAUUGUGGUGUUGAUAUGAACCCACAAAUAAUUGCAUUUACUUUAUCGUAAACUUACUACUGACAUUUACUGACAUUUACUUUAUCGUAAAUUUACUUUAAAGGGUGGUGCGGGUUUAUCGUCCACGCCUUUACUGACAUUUACUGACAUUUACUUUAUCGUAAAUUUACUACUGACAUUUACUUUAUCGUAAAUUUACUUUAAAGGGUGGUGCGGGUUUAUCGUCCACGCCUUUACUGUCAUUUAAAUGUAUGGAGUAGAAUUAGUGCCCAUACAAGCACGUUUACUUUACCGCACAUUUACAGUAUGGUGCGGGAUUAACGUCCAUACAGCAAUUUAAUUUAUGAAUUUACUUUACCGCACAUUUACAGUAUGGUGCGGGAUUAACGUCCAUACAACAAUUUAAUUUAUGAAUUUACUUUACCGCACAUUUAAAGUAUGGUGCGGGAUUAACGUCCAUACAAGUAAUUUAUUUAAACGGUAAAUUUAUUUUAUGGAUUAAUUGUGUUGUAUGAUGAGUUUUUACAGUAUACAGAUCAGGACCAGAAGUUCCUUGAUCCUCAUCAUACAUUUAUGUGAUCGGACUUAAGGGUCCUUGAUCCCUGACAUGUGAAUAAGGACCUGGGUUUCCUUAAUGAUGUAACAGUACCGUAUUGGUUAAAAGUGCCGUACACAUGAAUAAUAACU